This is a long non-coding RNA of Mugil cephalus (flathead mullet), 1209 nucleotides long. RefSeq lists it as uncharacterized. NCBI's taxonomy places the organism in Eukaryota, Metazoa, Chordata, Actinopteri, Mugiliformes, Mugilidae. The record is from RefSeq and is a predicted model, not a curated record. The transcript has 3 exons.
CGGUUUAUAUGAGCGAACCGUGUGAGGACACCAGCUAUCACAGCUCAAAUAUGACAGCGUUAUAAUCCCGGAUCUUACUAGUAUAGAGCGGAAAGAUGGAUGACAUGAAGAAGUGGACAAACAUAACAAACAGUAGCAUUUUUAGCUACUUUCUCGACUCUGUGGCUUCAGACGAUGUGGCAACGAACCAUCUUAAAAGCUCCGAGGCGUAUCCACGUAAAGCAAUAAGCGUACAUCUGUGAUCUCUGGCGCCCCCCUUGGUUGGAUGCGGAGCUGCUGCUGUAGACGAAUGUGAAAUCACUUUGACAAAGACUUCAAUCUUCUAGACUAGAUGGUGAACACUGUUGAGAAUUUUACACCUUCAAGAAAAAACGCUGCUGCAGGCUGGAUGAUUCCCCGGCACAUUUCUGACGUCAAAAAGUUAGAUGAGAGCUCGUUGUGAGAAACGACGUCCUCACCGUUUACAGCUUCCCCCUAAAAGACGCUCGCUCUGCUGCUCUCAGAUGAAGCCAGACACGUUUAAAGGAGCGUACGUUGGAUGAAUAUUUUUGCAUCCAUUCAUUUGUGACACUUGUCAUCCUGCACGUGCAAACUCACCAGACAGUUUGCACGUUGGCUGCAGAGAGAAGAGAUGCUUCGGUCGCAGUGAACAGACUAAAACAUCCAGGUGAGCGCAGCCUUUCUGCUGCACACAGCAGCUGUGAGCGGUGCACAAAUGACCCGUCCUGGUUAAUUCUUCCACUUCCAGCCGCCUGUCAGUGAACGCAGCGCGGUAUAAAUAGCCCUCUUUGUUUACGGGCUCCAGGCCGACUCGCUGCAAAUCGGCCUCGAUCUGAGAGAGCCGAGUAUCUUGUUGCUACACCAACACGAUAAUGGCCAAAAUAUUUACACAGCUUAACCGUUUUAUAAAAUACUGUUAUGCAAAAAUCCUCCCGCUCUCCUCCUUAUUAGUUUAAAGUCAAAACAUGUUCAUGCAGAAACGGGACGAGCCCCUUAACUGCCUCUUUAACACCCGCUGUGUCAUGCAAAAUAUUAAAAAAAAAAAAAUGCAAAUAAUAUUUUCUGCAUGAGAAAGUUUUGGCUGAAAACACCGUGAAACCCUAAACCUUCCGUGUGGUGACAGGAAAGCCGCUGUGUGAACGUCCGUAUUUUUCCUCUUUUAGGAAUUUUCCCAGGCCGCCUGCGAAAGGAAUUUUUCUUCCCGCCUAA